Molecule: long non-coding RNA, 652 nt
Filed under: Mytilus galloprovincialis (Mediterranean mussel)
Lineage: Eukaryota; Metazoa; Mollusca; Bivalvia; Mytilida; Mytilidae
Source: RNAcentral
GAAAAUGAUGAAAUUUUGUGAUUUUUCUUCAAACACUGUAAAAAUCAAAAUUUCUGCACAUGAAUAAGUAACAUUAAAACUGGAGCUAUUAGGUCAAUUAUGUUGAAAAAUUAUUGAAAUUGUAUUAAAAAGAUAUUCUAUCAACAUAAGAUAUGAAUAUAUGGAAGGGGCAAAUAGGUUUACCCCUGUUAACAAAAUUAUAAAUACAAGUUGGCAUCUGGUUGUUCCUAAGUCAUUUUGUAAGUCACAAUAUCAUUUACAGAUGAACUCAAAGAAACACAUCUUUGGAUUUUCAUGAAACUUAAUCAACAAACACCCAAAGGAAUGAGGAGAAAAGAAAUUGAUUCAAAUUUGGCUCUGUAGAUCAAAGGUCAUGGUCACAAUAUAUACAGAUAAUAGCAAUUUUUCAUAUUUUUUUUAAAAGUUUUUCAUAUAACAGCACCUUCAAACAAAUCAAGUUUUCAUUAAAAUAUAUGGUACAAACAUGCACCUAACCAACAAGAGGAAACAGUCUCUUAUCAGUUUCAGGCUCUGUAGUAGCCUUAAAGGUCAAAAGUCAAGGUCACAACUUACUUUAAGACAACAGCAUUUGAUAUUUUGUAUUUUUUCACAAGGAAAAUUAGAGGGUAAAUGAUUUAAAUUUGUACAAAAC